UACAGAGGUCCCGAGCGUUGUUCGGAUUCAUUGGGCGUAAAGGGUGCGUAGGCGGUUUCCUAAGUUUGAUGUGAAACCCGGGCUUAACCCUGGAAUUGCAUUGAAUACUGGGAGACUAGAGUACUGGAGAGGAAACUGGAAUUUACGGUGUAGCAGUGAAAUGCGUAGAGAUCGUAAGGAAGACCAGUGGCGAAGGCGAGUUUCUGGACAGUUACUGACGCUGAGGCACGAAGGCCAGGGAGCAAACGGG
This 250-nucleotide ribosomal RNA is filed under the name uncultured bacterium. Its description in RNAcentral is "partial 16S ribosomal RNA". It matches the Rfam family "Bacterial small subunit ribosomal RNA", at positions 524 to 776 of the family's 1533-position model. The record is from RNAcentral.